This 137-nucleotide ribosomal RNA is filed under the name uncultured Geotrichum. RNAcentral describes it as "partial 28S ribosomal RNA". Lineage: Eukaryota; Fungi; Ascomycota; Dipodascomycetes; Dipodascales; Dipodascaceae. The record is from RNAcentral.
CAACCUCAGAUCAAGUAGGAUUACCCGCUGAACUUAAGCAUAUCAAUAAGCGGAGGAUUAGCAAUCCCAUUAAGGUAGAAUUCGCUUACUGGCUUUUCUUUUAUUUAUUCUUGGGGGAAUUAAUUUUUAUUAUUAUU